Molecule: long non-coding RNA, 340 nt
Filed under: Homo sapiens (human)
Lineage: Eukaryota; Metazoa; Chordata; Mammalia; Primates; Hominidae
Description: non-protein coding lnc-CST8-2:2
Source: RNAcentral
ACAAAGGUGGUUUUUUGUACUUUUAUUGUUGCAUCUAAACCAUGGAAAUUUGAACUCACCAUGCUGAAGAAACAAUGCAAAGAUAUGUAGUUAUCUUCUAGUGUGUUCUGCCACACUCAUUUCCAUUUUAAAGAAGAAGCAAAGACACUUGCAAGAACUAGAACAACACAGUUAACCCAUUAACUUCAUUUGUUUGGCCUUUUUGCAUUUUUGUGUGUUCUUCAUGGGCUGAUGUUGAAAAUCCAUGAUGUGUUUUGACAGCAUUGCAUAGCCUAUUCUUGCUGGAUACUUCCCCUACUAGCUGGGAUAAUCUGCUGCAAUAAAUGGAAGUGGUUUCUAC